Molecule: non-coding RNA, 364 nt
Organism: Pogona vitticeps (central bearded dragon)
Lineage: Eukaryota; Metazoa; Chordata; Lepidosauria; Squamata; Agamidae
Source: RefSeq, a predicted model, not a curated record
UUUACUGCAGAAGAAAAGUUACAAGGUUGUGUGUAGAGCCAUCCUCAGGAUUAGAGUCAUCAGUCUGGUUCUGCUGUGACUUUUCUGUAUCUAAGAAAGCAAACACAGGAUAAUGCAUUACAGAUGUUCUCAGUGAGGCAACUUUUCCAGAGCCAAGAAGCAUUCAUUUUCUUACACAAGCAGCCUAAGAAGCAUGAAGUCUCCGGGUGGAGCUUGCCUACGCUGAAACAGCUGAUGCCGAACUCAGCAGCUUUUUAUUCAGCAAAGCCACCAUCAGCAGCCUAGAAUAUGGCCCACGACUACUGCAAUGGUCACUUCUUCUGUCCCUUAAGAAUCGUCAUGCCUCAUCUAGCCGCCUAGAGUG